Molecule: long non-coding RNA, 5829 nt
Organism: Musa acuminata AAA Group (dessert banana)
Lineage: Eukaryota; Viridiplantae; Streptophyta; Magnoliopsida; Zingiberales; Musaceae
Exons: 5
Source: RefSeq, a predicted model, not a curated record
CGGAAUUUCCAUGCUUAAAUUGGGAAUUAUAAUUCCUAAUAAUUUAAUAUUUCAUAAACUAAGCCUUUUAACAGACAGGGCCUCAGAAAGCUGGGCCUGAGACGUGGGCCGGCUCGUACGUGAGGUGCAGAAGCGGCAUUCGUCGGUGGGAUAUUUCACCGAGCAAUUCUCGUGCGUCCGGUGGCUUCCUGCUGCGAAAGAUGGAGACGCGGAACUUGCUGAUGAUCCUAGAUGGGUUAGAUCAAGAACAAGGGGUUUCUGGAAUCUCAAUAACAAGGGGUUUCUGGAAUCACAGCGUAGGCCAAGGAAAGAGGCCGAGUAGCAGGAGAGUUGGGGCGGGCAGACAUGGGGGAAAGGCGAUCGAAUCGUCAGUGCUAAAGGUGGUCGGCCAAGGCGUUUAUGGUGUGCGGUUUUGCAGCAUUGAUGGUGGAAAGAAGGAAAAUUCAUGUUCCAAGUGUAGAAACACCAGAAAGCAGUGGAAAACAAUCUUGAAGAUGGCGGAGAAGGUGGGAUUGAUGGCCAUAGAAGCAUGAUCAAGAUAUGGUAAUCGAAAACUGACCUCAUCAAGGAUUGGUUCUUGAUGCUUCUCCGUUGGAGAUGGUGAACCGUGUCAUGGCAGAGGGUCAAAGAGCCACUCUGUGGGUGGCUUUUGAUGAGGUAAGAGACCUCAAAACUUAGUGGCCCUAAUUAGGUCAGCAGCCUAUUCCGUUGCAGCAGAAGGGUUGAUCCUAGGGAGGCCCUGUUUAAUUGUUUGAGCUUCUGUCUUGUAAGAACAUGAUGCAGUUCUUAUCAUCAGCUGCAAAUGGUUGGCGAGUUCUUGAGGUAUCAGUCUUGUCAAGAGCUGUCAAAUUGAGUUAUAUCGAAGCAGAUUUUGAUACGAGGACAUUUUGCAUGUUUGAAUAUGCUCUUUAGAUUGUCUCAGUUAUCUAACUUUGCAUCAUUUAUCAUUGUGGAAGCUUGCUGAUUUAUACGUAUCUUUGUAAAAGGGACUUGCAUUCUUCAGAGGUUCAGAUUCUGAAUUACUUUAGAAGAACCCUUUUUUUUUUUUCAAUGCAACAUGUUUCACAAAAAUUUUCUUACAUUGUUUUGGUGGUUCAAUAUGAACUCUUAUCAUGUUGCAUUUUCACUUAUAAUGUGUUCUCCCUCUGGAGAUCUUUUGGAGCUUUAAUCAGUAUGCUUUGGUCUAGGAAGUUUGGUUUGCUUGGUUCGAGACUAAUUGUAAUAUCUAGGUUCUACAUUUACCUGUCCAAACAUAUAUUAACUAUCUCUUAUUUUUGGUUGAACUUGUCCUAAUAUUAGUUAUUUGCUGGUAAUCUUUUUAAUAUACUAUGAAUGUUGUUUUGGUAAGCUAUUUUGUUAAUCUUGGAGAAGUGAUUUGGCAUCAUCUUUUUUUCUUCCUUUUGUUGCACCUUAAAAUGAAACACAGACUUUAACAUGUUACAGUUUGACAAUUUCAAUUCCCUGCAUUAUUUGCUUUCAGGCUGCCAGUUGACACUAACCUACUGAAACAAAGAAUAUCACUUUUGUUAUUUCAUGAAUCCUCCUUUCAUCAGACCUUAACCAUGGAAAUAACCCAUAAAAUUUCCUUUCUCUUUGCGUUCCCUCAUUGUUAUAUAUUUUCUGCAGUUUUAGUUGAUCACAUUUGGUUCGAAGUACUUGGAGAAUUGCAAUUCUCAACAAGUGGUAUGUCUACUCCAAUCUCAUAUGUGGCAAAGAAAUCAUAACAUAGAUCUGAUGUUAAAGACCGACAAAUAAAAUGUGUUCUUCAUGUUCGUCAUGCCUGCAUGGGUGAAUCUUUUUGGCUUCUGUUGUUCUGCUUCUAUCUGUAGUUCUUACAUGCUAAAUGUUUGUAGGACAUUUUGUACUAUUUUCUAGGCCAUUUUGUUCUUCCUUUUUCUCGCCCCAUUCUGCAUUUUGACUACAAUGUGAAAUGACUACUGUUCACCUUAAAUUCACAUAUAAUUUCAUUUUAGAAUAACUAGCUUUUAGUAUCUGGAUAUAAUCUUACUACCAAAAGUUUUCCCAUUGGUUAACAUAGACUUCAUUUCUCCGUUUCACCAACCAGGUAUAGGAAAAAGGGCAGUUCUUUUUAUUGGUUUUGGCAAUAAAGCUGUUGUGGUGACCAUAGUUGACAGUUAACUUAAUCGAUAGCGUUUUCCAACUAGUUCAUGUCACUUUUUCCCUCCACUUUCAAGAUUGAGGAAGUUAAUUUUGGUGAUUUUGUCAAAGUUGGAUCAAGGAGCCGACCUAGUUCUUCUUUUUCUGGCUCAGUGUAUCACUUGUUGAGGCUUUCAAUAUGUUUAUCUGUCAUGAAAACCAGUAUCCGGCUUGGCCUGGGAAUGCUACCAGCUGAUCCUUCCACACUUUAGUUAGUGCUUGACUAAGAUGGAGAAAAAAAACUUCUAGAGUUAAAUUUCCCUUUCUUAUACUGGAAUUAGUUGAAGGAUCAAAAGAUUGACUUUUUAUGUUAAUUCACGACUGUUGUCACCAAUGAAUGGCUUUGACUAGGGCUAUUGGCCUUGACCAUUUUGAUGUGUCUGAUCGAUGUGGAAUUACCACAGGAUAUUGAUGACCAUGCUGCAAUAUGUCGGUCAGAUGGGACGCAGCUGUGUGCUCUUAUCAAAGGUUCUUCCUGAAGGAGCGGAUAGGAGGCCAACCAACAACAGGAGCAGGCGCAGCUCUGCAUUUUUGUUGAGGAGUAGGAAAUAUCAAGUAAGAAGUGUUAAAACAAAUUACAGAAAGGUUAGAUAGAGGAAAAUGCAAUUGAAUCACGAUGUCCAAGACCAGUCGGUUUCCAUUUCUUUAGCAAGGAGAUCAACAGUAAGACUGCUCUUCCACAACCUACGAUGCUUAUAUUUGGAGUCAGUAUAAAUAAUGUUUUUGCUUGUAAAGGUAAAGUUACUGCAUGUCUUGAUCUUUGUUAGACUUGAAUCCUUUUAUUUAAAUAGCCAUACUUUAUUUAUGAAGAUUUUGAUAAAUGCUAUCAUCUUAUAGAUCUAACUUCAGAUUUAUGCUGGUGAAGAUGAUACUGAAAUCAGUAUUUUUAGAGAGGUUGGACAAAAUCAACAUAGCAAGAACCUUAAAAUUUUGUGAAUGAAAGAGUAAAUUGUAACAGCACAAAAAGAAGUAGAGAAAACUAAAUCUCUUUUGAACUGUAAGUCGGUGGUGUGAAGUACUUAAGCAGCAGCAGGCAGCAGCAGCAGCAAACUUCUAUUAAUUAGGAAGUGUAAAACUAUACCUAGCAGCCAUGGAAAAAUUAGAACCCAAAAUAUAAGGGAAAAAAAAGAUAGAUAUGCUGCAUGAAAUACUUAAUUUUGCAACUGGGAACACUGUUUAGUGAAAUUAUUAGCCCCAGUUCUAUCAGACACUAAAGACAGGCCAUCCAGCUGGGCUGGGCAUUUAAAGUCACAGUGAGCAUGAUAUCGAGACAAGAGACAUCAAAUAAUGUGCAGAAAAAGUAGCAGAUACAUUGAUGACACACAAACAAAUGCAAGCCCGAAUGAGAUCAUGGCACAUGCCAAUCAUGGUUACCUUGUCUGGGAGCUGGUGUUGGGUCCAGCUGCACCUCCGGGAGCAGCAUGGCUUUGCUGCAGAUCAGCCUUCCCACCAGCCCAAACUGCCUUGUGUGGCCAUUCAUUCCCAGACUCUGCUCUGCUCUGCAACUGGAGGAACCCAGCCUGCUGCUCUUGCUGAGGACCUGAAAAGGGAAGAAUAUGGUGUAGGAGUCGAUAAAUCCCAGGAAGACAUGCAUGACCUUUGGCGCUUGAAAAAAUAUAGUACCUUCUGAUUUGGACUCUGCAGAUUCGAAGAGCCGUCUUCUGGCUCCAGUACAGGUGGUGGUGGUGGUGGUCUUUGAAGCCUUGGAGAAGAAAUCAAGACAGAGAACAGCAGCAGCCUCUUCUUCUCCUCCUCCUACUCCAGGGAGCCCAAGCUUCAGCUCCAACUUUUUGUCUUCCGAGUCAUCUAAGCCGCCGACUCCUCUUCCUCCUCCUGAUGCCUCUGGCGCCAUCAUCCAGUCGCUCUCAUUUGGAAUCAGAUCGAGCAGCUGAGGACAUGCACCUCCUCUGUUCUCGAGAUCUUCUUCCAUGGCAAGUUCAAAAGUCGAGGAUGAACGACCAGCAGCUUCCUGUUUCAACGCUCAAGUUGGGAGAAAGCGUCAAAGAUGAAAUUUUUUUUUAUGGACAAAAGCAGUCGCCUCUUCGGAAACAUUAUCACCUACAACCAUGCUAGCCAAAAUGAAAGACUAGAAGAAGAAGAAGAAGAAGAAGAAGAUCAGCCGUAUCAGCAUAGUUGAUCAAGAAGAGGGGAAGGAGACGACACACGGCUAACCCACCUGCACUCGAGUUCCGGGACGAGAAGUAGGAUCAGAGGAAGGAAAGCUCUGCUCGCUCCAGCCACUGAAGAAGCCAAAUCCUCAAAACCAAAUCUUGGAGGGAGAAUUAGGCCAAAUACCACUCAGUAAAUAAUGAAAAAGGCUUCUUUUUUCACCUACACUCCUCUUCUCAUCCUUCCUUUUUCUCUGUCUUGUAGGAGAAGUGGUGCUUAAAAAGGGAACAGCGGCAGGGAUUCCAUGGCUGGGAAAGGAGCCCGAAAAAGGGACAGUGGGAUCGAGGCAUUCCCAUCCCAUCUCUACUCCUGCACGCUAAUCCAAGCAGGUGGAACAGGGACGUGACACUCUCUCUCUACAAUCAUAUUCGUAUUGUUCCCUCCCUAAGAAAAAUUGCAGAAAAGAACAAAAGCUAUACAACUGUAGCAGCCAUGAGCCAUACACAGUAUCGGAUACUCGGAAUUCUUAAUACACUGGUCAAUCAGAAUUCGGCUGGUUGCUUACGCCUAACAAAGUGGGAGGGGGUAAUGAUUGGAUCAGUGGUCCUCCUUUUAACUCUUCUUCUUCCUCUCUUUGUGGCCAACUUAAACUUGGCGGAUCAACAGUCCAUGGAAGCUGGAAAGAUGCACACAAUCAUCACCGAAUCUCUCUCUCUCUCUCUCUCUCUCUCUCUCUCUCUCUCUCUCUCUCUCUCUCUGUGUUGGUAGUACUGUGACAUUACCAAAUACAUGAAAAUAUUUUCUGAAAAUGAAUGAAGCCUGCAGAGUGAGUGAUACUAAUGUAGGCUAUGAGCUAAGCCUAAUGUCACGCAGCACAACACAAGGGAAAUGUGACAGCAGUAGUUGGGGACCUCACAAGAGGAGGAGGAGGAGGAGGAGAUGGCUGUGGCAGGCAUCAUGAUCACAGUUCCUGUGGAAAAAGCUGGUGGCUCGCUGGAGGGAACUGAAGAGGAGCUCCGGAAAAGCACUCGAUUCAAUGCAUCGGGAGGGCGGGCGGGCUGUAGGCGGCGGUGGGCGCCCGAGGCGGUCCACCCUCGCGUGCUUAGGCCACGGGCGUGCCUCGCAAAGUCUAUGGUCAAGGCUCACUCUCCGUGUGGUGGUCGAUCUGCUCUGGUCCCCCAACUGUUUGACAAAAUGCCUGUGUGCGCCAUAAAUUGUAACUUGUCACGAGGGGCGUUUAACCUUCAUCCGACUCCUCCUCAGGACCAGAAGCGUCGAUAUCAUCAUCAUCAUCAUCAUCAGCAGCAGCAGCAGCAAAUUGGCACAUGAAUGUGAAUUGCCUGGAGAAUUCAAAGCACGGUCACAAUUUAACUUGACGGUUCCCCUUCAAAUGCAUCCGAAGCUACUGAAGUUAUCUUGGAACAAAACUAUCUCUGCAGGAACCCCAUAGCUUGAUAGACAUUAUUGAGAGUGGUUUCUGCUAUAUCGGCUGCUUUUCUAGCCCCCUCUGACAAAAUCUGAUCCAGAUAUGCUGGAUCAGAGGUGAUCUCCGAGUACCGAGCC